GGAUUAGAUACCCUGGUAGUCCACGCCGUAAACGAUGGAUGCUAGCUGUUGGGCAGUAUACUGUUCAGUGGCGCAGCUAACGCAUUAAGCAUCCCGCCUGGGGAGUACGGUCGCAAGACUAAAACUCAAAGAAAUUGACGGGGGCCCGCACAAGCGGUGGAGCAUGUGGUUUAAUUCGAAGCAACGCGCAGAACCUUACCAGCUCUUGACAUCCCGAUCGCGGUUAGUGGAGACACUUUCCUUCAGUUAGGCUGGAUCGGUGACAGGUGCUGCAUGGCUGUCGUCAGCUCGUGCCG
This 296-nucleotide ribosomal RNA is filed under the name uncultured bacterium. RNAcentral's name for it is "partial 16S ribosomal RNA". It matches the Rfam family "Bacterial small subunit ribosomal RNA", at positions 775 to 1067 of the family's 1533-position model. The record is from RNAcentral.